UGGGGAAUAUUGCACAAUGGGCGCAAGCCUGAUGCAGCCAUGCCGCGUGUGUGAAGAAGGCCUUCGGGUUGUAAAGCACUUUCAGCGAGGAGGAAGGUGGUGAGCUUAAUACGCUCAUCAAUUGACGUUACUCGCAGAAGAAGCACCGGCUAACUCCGUGCCAGCAGCCGCGGUAAUACGGAGGGUGCAAGCGUUAAUCGGAAUUACUGGGCGUAAAAGCGCACGCAGGCGGUUUGUUAAGUCAGAUGUGAAAAUCCCCGGGCUCAACCUGGGAACUGCAUUUGAAACUGGCAAGCUAGAGUCUCGUAGAGGGGGGUAGAAUUCCAGGUGUAGCGGUGAAAUGCGUAGAGAUCUGGAGGAAUACCGGUGGCGAAGGCGGCCCCCUGGACGAAGACUGACGCUCAGGUGCGAAAAGCGUGGAGAGCAAAACAGGAUUAGAUACCCUGGUAGUCCACGCUGUAAAACGAUGUCGAUUUUGGAGGUUGUGCCCUUGAGGCGUGGCUUCCGGAGCUAACGCGUU
RNAcentral lists this ribosomal RNA (520 nucleotides) under uncultured bacterium. RNAcentral describes it as "partial 16S ribosomal RNA". It matches the Rfam family "Bacterial small subunit ribosomal RNA", at positions 355 to 861 of the family's 1533-position model. The record is from RNAcentral.